RNAcentral lists this ribosomal RNA (253 nucleotides) under uncultured bacterium. Its description in RNAcentral is "partial 16S ribosomal RNA". It matches the Rfam family "Bacterial small subunit ribosomal RNA", at positions 524 to 776 of the family's 1533-position model. The record is from RNAcentral.
UACGUAGGUGGCAAGCGUUAUCCGGAUUUAUUGGGUGUAAAGGGCGUGUAGGCGGGAAUGCAAGUCAGAUGUGAAAACUCAGGGCUCAACCCUGAGCCUGCAUUUGAAACUGUAUUUCUUGAGUGCUGGAGAGGCAAUCGGAAUUCCGUGUGUAGCGGUGAAAUGCGUAGAUAUACGGAGGAACACCAGUGGCGAAGGCGGAUUGCUGGACAGUAACUGACGUUGAGGCUCGAGAGCGUGGGGAGCAAACAGG